This 1805-nucleotide long non-coding RNA is filed under the name Homo sapiens (human). Its description in RNAcentral is "HSALNT0360602". Lineage: Eukaryota; Metazoa; Chordata; Mammalia; Primates; Hominidae. The record is from RNAcentral.
GAGGCGGGACGGCCGCGGGCUCUGCGCCCGCCCUCGGCGCGGACCCUGGGCCCCGACCCCGCGGUCGCCGGGGCUCCCCUUCCUCUGUCCCAGUGCGCCCAGCCCCGCGCUCCGCACCCGGGCACCCCCGCGGGGUUCUCCUGAGUUCCUGGAGCUCCCGGGGCUGGCGCUCACGCCGUGAGAGGGGUGCGCCCUUAGGGGGGCGGGACGGACGGGGGGUUUCUACGGGAGGUAGGAAACGGGCGGCUUGCAAGGCGCGGGCUUAGGCCGGAGCCUGGUGGUGCGAGGUCCCCAGCUCGGAUUUCUCCCUGGUGGAGAGUCCCGGAGCAGAACAAACCAGCAGAGGCUCUGGAAAGGGUCCUCCUGAGCACGUGGCUCAUUCAUUCAUUCGACAAACGUUACCUGAGCGCCUGCCCACUCAUUGCCCGAGUGUGCUGGGAGCGCCGCACCAACUGCCUGGUAGGUGGGAGAAGGGACACGUCAGGUAACAAACAGCACAGGUAAGUGCCGGCCACUCAAAUGGGGUGGAAAGAGGUGGCACAGCGCUGCCGAGGGAGUGCGUUCCAGACAGGUGACCUCUUGCUUGGGUGCUGAAUGAGUGGAGUUUUCCAGAGAGACCAAGAGGAAGCAGCCGCAGAAACCUCAGCCCAGCUGGGCUUGCAGAAGCUAAUGCUAGAAUAGUUGUGGGACUCAGGAUCUGCUGAAGUCGGGGGAAGAGAGAAGUAGGGAAAGGAAAGCCCAGGCCACGCGUGGGGCUCAGGAACGGCAUCCUCGCCCGAGAAAAGAGAGGUUAAAACCAAGACAUGGACAAAGCCUCCGAAUGAAGGCAGCCCUUUAAAUGGAAUAAAUUUGGUUUCAUGGCACAUUAAUGGGGUGUCUUCUCUCCGAAGACACAGAGACAACUACAGUAGGUCUGGGGGCCGUCAGGGAUUGGAGGAACGAAGGUAAGAAAAGGAAGAAGGUAAGAAAAAGAGGUCCCUACCUCUGUGAGGUAGGGACAGUGCUGAACAGCAGGGCUGGGAGAGCCCACAGGGAGGUGGCCAGGAUGGCCACAGGGCCUGGGGAGGACCAGGUGGGGCACCAUCCUGCGGUAGAGAAUGCCCGUCACCUGCCCUAGGGGCCACCCAGAAUGCAGAUUAAAUAAGUAUUUGGGAAUGGCACAGGAGCUUUUCCAUUUUCGUGGGUUAGAGGAAAGCUGCUGCGUUCAAGAGGAUAACGUGGGACCUGAGCAUUCUGGUAAGUCAACCCCACAUUCAUGGAAAGCCACGGGCUCUGUUUUACUGAUAAGGAACUGAAGUCCCACAGAGGAAGUGGCCAGGCUCACUCACACACAGCAUGCACUUGAAGCUUUCUGUGGAAAUCAGAAACCUCCGGGGCUCAGGCGCUGUAGUGGUGGCCUGGUGACUCUGACCCCUUGAAGGAGAAGCAUCUGUGAAGGUGCUGUCCAGGACAAGUAGGGUGCUCUACGGUAAAGGACAUGGUGGCCUGACCUGCUCCAGAGCAGGGAGGCCUCCCUUGAGGAAAUAAGAUAAACCCAGACUUUAAGGAUAAGCAGAAACCAGCUAGGUGAACUGGAGUGGGAACAGCACGUGAAAAGGCCCUGGUUUAGGAAGGAGCACCACUCCUUCAGAGCACAGAAAGGCCAGGAUGGCCGAAGCAUAGGGAACAACAGGAAAGUGACAUAAAUUGAGGCUGCAGAGGUAGAAGAAGGGCCUUAUUGGUCGUGCUAGGAAUUUGGAAUUCUGCAAAGAAGCCUGGGAAACAGAUUUUGGUGACACUCGCCUUCUCUUUAAUGUGCAGUUUCA